CUUCAUCGUUGUGCAAUGACUGGAAGUAGCAGCUUCCUUGUUACUGUACGCAGCCUGUUUCUUGUAUAGGUUACUCUAAGGGACCUUUGAGACACCC
This 97-nucleotide small nucleolar RNA is filed under the name Carlito syrichta (Philippine tarsier). RNAcentral's name for it is "Small nucleolar RNA SNORA70 (ENSTSYG00000024330.2)". It matches the Rfam family "Small nucleolar RNA SNORA70", at positions 39 to 135 of the family's 135-position model. From Rfam's summary of the family: snoRNA U70 seems to be exclusive to mammals and is a member of the H/ACA class of snoRNA which contain H (ANANNA) and ACA box motifs. H/ACA box snoRNAs are involved in the conversion of uridines to pseudouridines (5-ribosyluracil) a constituent of structural RNAs (transfer, ribosomal, small nuclear, and small nucleolar). The record is from Rfam by way of RNAcentral. Lineage: Eukaryota; Metazoa; Chordata; Mammalia; Primates; Tarsiidae.